CAGCACCCCGAGUGGUCGGGACGAUUAUUGGGCCUAAAGCAUCCGUAGCCGGUUUUACAAGUCCUCCGUUAAAUCCAACUGCUUAACAGAUGGGCCGCGGAGGAUACUAUAAGACUAGGAGGCAGGAGAGGCAAGCGGUACUCAGUGGGUAGGGGUAAAAUCCGUUGAUCCAUUGAAGACCACCAGUGGCGAAGGCGGCUUGCCAGAAUGCGCUCGACGGUGAGGGAUGAAAGCUGGGGGAGCAAACCGGAUUAGAUACCCGGGUAGUCCCAGCUGUAAACGAUGCAGACUCGGUGAUGGACUAGCUUCAUGCUAGUCCAGUGCCGCAGGGAAGCCGUUAAGUCUGCCGCCUGGUAGUACGGUCGCAAGACUG
Molecule: ribosomal RNA, 373 nt
Filed under: uncultured organism
Description: partial 16S ribosomal RNA
Rfam family: Archaeal small subunit ribosomal RNA
Source: RNAcentral